GUAGUCAUAGCUUUUGAAAUGGAUGGAAGUAACCCAUGGCAUUUUGGAAAAAAUAUGACAAUAUUUUCACGUUACUUGGAGAGAUGUGGCUGGAAGUAUGAAUGAUGUCUGAAACAUCUGACCCUGAGCUGAAAUAAGGAACAAUUGAGACUUAUGUACAAGCAGUUGAGCCUCAGGUACACAGACGUGUGAGAGACUCCUAGGUAAGGUGUCUGAGGAACAAGAAUUAUUUUCACGUGGGAAAGGAAGAGGUUGCAUGAAUCAUGGUAAACUUCCAACUUAGAUUUUACAGUAGUGAGGGUUGAGACAGUGGAGAUACCAUCUAGAAGUUGACAGAAUUUGUUUUUGAAACGCAUAUCCGUGCAAAUGUUAUACUUUGGCCAAAAAAAAAAAAAAAAGAAAAAAAAAAGUGACCAAAGACAGAAUAAAGCACUCUGUUUAGCAAAACAGCUGCAUGAUGUGUUAAACCCAGUCUUGUGAUGACAAGCCACAUGAAAUCUGUGCAGAUAAGUCAUCACCAGUGGCUAGUUUCCCCUGUGUCUCACUGACAAGGGGAGGGGAGGAGGAGUUUGUGUAAUUAAUAGGCAAGGGAAAAGUAGGGGGCAUUUUUUAAAGUCAUCCCUGGUUACUCUCAAGUGGGUAUUGAUUGAAUGAUAUCAGAUAUGCUUUUAUGUCCGUAUUCCUCUGGUUAGAGGAAUUUGGACAUGAUCCAAGCAGAAGUAGAGGAGCUGCUAGGUGGCCCAGUGGUAAAGCAUCCCACCCACUGCAGCAUCCUUAGCAGGGAGGAGGAGGUGAGACAGGGGGAGACCCUCUGCUGAGAUGAGCCCCUGCACUGCCAGUGGGCGAAGAGAACAGACUUGUCCAGCCUGGGGAUUGAAACUCCACAAAGUCGAGCACCAGAUGGCAGAAGAUACAGUGGUUUACAUAUUUUGGAUAGAGGAUGUAGCCAUCUGCAAGAUGAAGAAGACAAGCACAAAGAGGAGCAUUAGGGGCUGGACGUUUUCAACAAGCUGCACUUGGGAUCCUCAACUUUGCCAAAGACCACGGAGCAGAGGAAUGUGUUCCCCCCAGAAACUGACCCAGGAGCACCCUGCUCCACUCUGAGGGUGGGGGAACAGCGAGACAGAAGCCAUCAGAGGACAGAGGGAAACCACAGACUACUUCCGUUACAUAGAAACAUAAAAGCCCCUGCUGUGCCUGUUUGGAAGAGGCGCUUUGAGGCAAACAUCCCAAUCCCAGGUGAGAAGGACAAUUUAGUGUAUCCAGAGAGCUUGUAUCUCACUCUGGGGUCUUUUUGCUGUGUGUAUCCUAAUCACUGAACUGCCUUCUCUCUUAUUCCUGUCACUGUCAGCGUAAAGGCCAUAGUUCCCAGUUAUGGGUGAUUUAACUGACUUUCAGUGCAAUAAAAGUUGCCAAACUACAGCUCCAGAUAAAGUCGCUUAUAUUUAGCUGACGAGCCAUGCAGCUGCAUUUGCAUCAAUAACAUAGGGUAAAUUCUAAUUAACCAGGUGAUGCAUAAGACCUGGAAAUUGUUGCAAAUGAUUAAUUUUAGGUACCAAGACAUAUCAGUUUCACAGUGAUCCAAAAUCUAAAACCUUUGGAAACUACUACUACAGGAAACAUAUGCAGAUGUGUAUCCAUUUCUGCUGAGCACCUGCCAUUUCUUGCUCCCAGCAGAAAUGACAGCAAUUCCCAAAAAUCAAAGAGUCUCCUUUAAGCAAAGCAUUUCCAAUUUACAGUCAAAGCAUCUGAACAAAACCAAAUCUUAGGGACACUGACCCAAGCUAUGGGUGCUGUGCCAUGGCAGCCUCAGAUCACUUCAACCCACUGGUCCGUGCCCCUGUGAGCCAGCAUGAUGCCUAUGCCAGGGGCCUUCCCAAAGCAGUUUGGAUAUAGCCACCCUCCCUCCACUGGUAGGAGACUUCAGUGUCAGCUUUGUGGCCUGAAAAGGGCCUCAGCUGGCCUCUCACUCUUCAGGUCCCCAGGCUGAUGGCUAUGUCACCGCUACACUAUUUCUGCUCCAAAGGGUGUAGGAGUAGGCCCAGGUUUUGUAAAAAAAAAAAAAGAAAGAAAAAAAAAGUGUUGUUUCUUUUUUUAAUUGUUUUGUUUUGUUUUGUGUUUUCCUCUUUGAAGUAACUUCAGACACUUCCAAGGAAUGGGGUGGUAUAGAUUAGGACAGUCUGCAGCAUGUGCAGGAACACCAGGAUGAGACAGCUGGCAAAAGAGUAACCACUUGUGACUCCAUCAGGCACAUAAAAAGCAGAUAUGAGGCCACUCCUACAUUUACAGUAACUCAAUUAAUGUUUUUCAUUUCCAUUUAUUACAUUCCUAAUUGCUCCACGCCGCCUGUGGGUCAGCUGGCAGCUGUACACUAAGCUGUACACGAACUUGCAUGGCAAGCAACUCCUGACAGGCUAAUCGAAUAACACGUCCUGACUUCAAUAACCAGAACUGUUCUCUUCUGCUCUGCAGCCUGAGCUGGACUCUGUACAGGAUGGAGAUGAAUCCAACCAAGAGCAGGAGGAAAGGAUGGGUGCUUGGCUCGCAGGCUGUCAAUAUGAUGUCUUAAGCUUCUGUGUGAAGGUGGAGCAUCACAGCUGGCACCGAGAGUGAAGCAACAGGACCUCUCUGUUGUUGCUUUACCUGAAAAGCCCACCAUGCUAGGUCCUGCCUGGGGCUCCUGGAACACACCAAGUUAGAGAUCUAAGAGUGUAAAUGUUUCCUCUAACUGACGACGUGUUAUUUAGUGCUCCCAUCCCUGCCCAUAUGGAUAGUACUUUAUGGCAAAACAAAGACUUGCCCAGCAGAGCACUGAAGUGUCAGAAGAUAAAUGUAUAAAAAUUUAGUAACUGCUUUCUCCCAUGUCAUGUUACGUAUUAAUACAGAUGUUAUAUCUCUAAGAAGUCUAGAAACAUAGGUAAUAUUCAGAUCCCAGUCAGGAAGAAUUACUGAAAACAUCUAAAAGUAUCCUUUCCAUAAACAAAAUGAAUAUGUAAGCACAUCUGGCACAGCAAUCCUUUACUGCACCAUGUUAUAAAGUACUCCAGAGCAAUGAAAG
RNAcentral lists this long non-coding RNA (3058 nucleotides) under Anas platyrhynchos (mallard). Its description in RNAcentral is "lncRNA (ENSAPLG00020013023.1)". The record is from RNAcentral. Lineage: Eukaryota; Metazoa; Chordata; Aves; Anseriformes; Anatidae.